This 503-nucleotide ribosomal RNA is filed under the name uncultured bacterium. RNAcentral describes it as "bacterial SSU rRNA". It matches the Rfam family "Bacterial small subunit ribosomal RNA", at positions 321 to 820 of the family's 1533-position model. The record is from RNAcentral.
GAGACACGGACCAGACUCCUACGGGAGGCAGCAGUGAGGAAUAUUGGUCAAUGGGCGCAAGCCUGAACCAGCCAUCCCGCGUGAAGGAAGAAUGCGCUAUGCGUUGUAAACUUCUUUUCCAGGGGAAUAAAAUUUCGUACGAGUACGGGACUGAAGGUACCUUGGGAAUAAGCAUCGGCUAACUCCGUGCCAGCAGCCGCGGUAAUACGGAGGAUGCGAGCGUUAUCCGGAUUUAUUGGGUUUAAAGGGUGCGUAGGCGGAAAAAUAAGUCAGUGGUGAAAACCUUCAGCUUAACUGGAGACUUGCCAUUGAUACUGUUAUUCUUGAGUAUAGUUAAGGUAGGCGGAAUGUGUAAUGUAGCGGUGAAAUGCUUAGAUAUUACACAGAACACCAAUUGCGAAGGCAGCUUACUGAGCUAUAACUGACGCUGAUGCACGAAAGCGUGGGGAGCGAACAGGAUUAAGAUACCCUGGUAGUCCACGCCGUAAACGAUGAUCACUCGC